CGGCAAGCCUAACACAUGCAAGUCGAACGGACAAUUAUUUAUAGCCUCUGGCUAUAGGAAAUUGUUAGUGGCAGACGGGUGAGUAAUGCGUAGGAAUCUACCUAGUAGUACGGAAUAGCCAUUAGAAAUGGUGGGUAAUACUGUAUAAUCCCCGAGGGGGAAAGAUUUAUCGCUAUUAGAUGAGCCUACGUUAGAUUAGCUAGUUGGUGAGGUAAUGGCUUACCAAGGCUAUGAUCUAUAGCUGGUCUGAGAGGACGAUCAGCCACACUGGAACUGAGAUACGGUCCAGACUCCUACGGGAGGCAGCAGUGGGGAAUAUUGGACAAUGGGCGAAAGCCUGAUCCAGCUAUGCCGCGUGAGUGAAGAAGGCCUUCGGGUUGUAAAACUCUUUCAAUAGGGAAGAUAAUGACGGUACCUAUAGAAGAAGUCCCGGCAAACUCUGUGCCAGCA
RNAcentral lists this ribosomal RNA (450 nucleotides) under Ehrlichia canis. RNAcentral describes it as "bacterial SSU rRNA". It matches the Rfam family "Bacterial small subunit ribosomal RNA", at positions 40 to 513 of the family's 1533-position model. Lineage: Bacteria; Pseudomonadati; Pseudomonadota; Alphaproteobacteria; Rickettsiales; Anaplasmataceae. The record is from RNAcentral.